UACGUAGGUGGCAAGCGUUGUCCGGAUUUAUUGGGUUUAAAGGGUGCGUAGGCGGCCUUAUAAGUCAGUGCUGAAAUAUCCCGGCUUAACCGGGAGGGUGGCAUUGAUACUGUAGGGCUUGAGUGUAGUCGAGGUAGGCGGAAUUGACGGUGUAGCGGUGAAAUGCUUAGAUAUCUGGAGGAACACCAGUGGCGAAAGCGGCCACCUGGACUGUACCUGACGCUCAAACGCGAAAGCUAGGGGAGCGAACGGG
This 253-nucleotide ribosomal RNA is filed under the name uncultured bacterium. RNAcentral's name for it is "partial 16S ribosomal RNA". It matches the Rfam family "Bacterial small subunit ribosomal RNA", at positions 524 to 776 of the family's 1533-position model. The record is from RNAcentral.